This 944-nucleotide long non-coding RNA is filed under the name Monodelphis domestica (gray short-tailed opossum). Its description in RNAcentral is "lncRNA (ENSMODG00000050295.1)". Lineage: Eukaryota; Metazoa; Chordata; Mammalia; Didelphimorphia; Didelphidae. The record is from RNAcentral.
GAUAAUUCCUCAGGAAUGUUUGGAAAUAUAGCUCAUUGAAUGUCCAAUUUUUCCCCCUGAAAUAAUAUACUCAGUCUUGCUGGAUAGGUGACUCUGGGUUGUAAACCCAAAGCCAUUGACUUCAUAAAUAUCAUAUUCCUUGCCUUUUGACCCUUUAAUGUAGAAACCACCAGGUCCUGUGAGAUCCUUAUUAUAGCUCCACGGUAUUUAAAUGAUUGCUUUCUGGCUGCUUGAAGUUUUUUUUUUCCUUUCCUUGGUGGUUCUUGAAUUAGCCAUUAGGUUCCUCAAAGUUGUCAUUUGAGGAUUUAUUUCUGGAGGUGAUCUGUGAAUUCUUUUAAUUUCAAUAUUAUUUUCUUGUUCAAGGAUCUCUAGGAAGUUACUUUGAUAAUUUCUUGUAAUAUGAUGUCUAAGGUUUUUUUUUUUUUUCUUGAUCAUGGCUUUCAGGUGUGAUAGAGGCUGGCACUAGAGAAAAAGUGCCAGGCUGAAGAGUAUGUGAAAUUGAUCACCUCAAAGGGGGAGUGACCCCAGGAGUGGAAUCCAGAGGAGGAGAAGACUCUGGCUGGGAGAGCAGUGAGGGUUUCUCUCGGUCUUGAGAAGCCAGAGAGAGAAGUUGGAAAAAAGACUAUCUCCUGAGGGUUAUCCAUCUUUCCUGCUGGUGACUGGAAAUCUUUUCCCCCAACACUUCUCAGUUGAAAGUACUUCUGAAGAGAAACCUGAGCAGACUUUACCUCAGCUCCUGUUGCCUAGAGAUAUUAAAGCAAUUCUUGAAACUUAAUUGGCCAAGAGAACAAAGCGUAUAACAAUUGAAAAAGCCUUCUGGUGACCAGAUUGAAAAAGCCAGCUCAUUAAAAAAGGAACUCAUCCUUCUGACUUGUCAAUGGAGUUCUACCAUGAUGAAUGAGGAAGGCAGAAAAGUUUUGGUAACUGAAUCAAGAUCACAUACU